RNAcentral lists this ribosomal RNA (92 nucleotides) under Salvator merianae (Argentine black and white tegu). Lineage: Eukaryota; Metazoa; Chordata; Lepidosauria; Squamata; Teiidae. The record is from RNAcentral.
CAUAAUCUUAUCUAAUCUCAGAAACAAAGUAGGAUUGGGUUUGUUCAGUAAUUGGAUGGGAGACCACUUGGAAAUGCCAGCCGAGAUUGAGA